Vigna umbellata (rice bean) is the source of this 360-nucleotide long non-coding RNA. RefSeq lists it as uncharacterized. NCBI's taxonomy places the organism in Eukaryota, Viridiplantae, Streptophyta, Magnoliopsida, Fabales, Fabaceae. The record is from RefSeq and is a predicted model, not a curated record.
UAAUAUUUAGAGGGCAUUCUCUUCCUCUGUUUUUCGUGGUUCUCUUCCUCUGUUCUUGUUUUCCGGCAAAGCCACGUUCAUUCUUCAGUUCAUUUCUUCCUUUCUCUUUUUCUCUUCUGCAUCAUUCUCUUCCAGCGCCUUUUCCGGCGAAUUCGGUGCCCAGUCACCGUCAUUUCUGCUGAGCAAUCUCUCCUAACGGUGUCGUUCUGUCCUCCCUCAGCAUAUCCUGCAACACACCCUUCAUCAUGCAAAGAAGUAAGGUUUUGAAGCAAAUACUGAAGGUGUUUUGAGAGGAAUCUUAAUAGGGAAAUGGCAUGAAUUCCUAUUCAAAGACAGCAAAUUGGUGAAAGGUCUCUUACG